CUCCGCUUCCAUCCAGCAGGGAGGGGCAGAAACGCGAAGGUGAACUCUAAGGAAGUUUUCUACCAAAACGAAUUACUGCUAUCUGUCUCCUUCCAGCUGUAGGAAUGUCAAACUCCCGGGGCUGGACCGAGAGUCUCUUGCUUUGUUUGGAGAUUUUGCCUGUUUUUUUUGUUUGUUUGUUUGUUUUUGAUUUCCAAGUCCUUAUAACAAGCCAAGCAAGCUCUCUCCCUCUAGCUACACCCGGAACCCAGAAGUGUUUAAGCAAGCAUUUUGUAUGACUCUGACGCAUGACACAAAGAUGGAUGGGCACAGAAGGACCUUCACCCUUGUUUCUUAAGUGGCAGUGCUAGCCACUGAGCAAACCUGCUUUUCACCUCAACUUCUGCACAGACCCCUCCAGACCAUGAACAACAGGACACCGGGGAAUCUACUGCCUUGAGUUGCCUAGGGCAAAGGAGGUUGGUCUUCCUACAAACUCCUAAUCCACAAGAUCCUCUGAAGCCUGGCAGGCCUAAACCUAACAACAGAAGAUUGAUGAUGUCCUCAGUGACCAUGGAAGACCCUGGGGAGUGACUGUUCAGGCGGCCAAGGAACUUACUCUACAGUGACUGCCCUCAGCCCUGCCUCCUGAGUGUUAAG
This 639-nucleotide long non-coding RNA is filed under the name Cricetulus griseus (Chinese hamster). RNAcentral describes it as "lncRNA (ENSCGRG00015033851.1)". Lineage: Eukaryota; Metazoa; Chordata; Mammalia; Rodentia; Cricetidae. The record is from RNAcentral.